This 207-nucleotide ribosomal RNA is filed under the name uncultured bacterium. RNAcentral's name for it is "partial 16S ribosomal RNA". It matches the Rfam family "Bacterial small subunit ribosomal RNA", at positions 568 to 774 of the family's 1533-position model. The record is from RNAcentral.
UGCGUAGGCGGUUUAUUAAGUCAGAUGUGAAAGCCCCGGGCUCAACCUGGGAACUGCAUUUGAUACUGGUAAACUAGAGUUUGGUAGAGGGUAGUGGAAUUCCAGGUGUAGCGGUGAAAUGCGUAGAGAUCUGGAGGAACACCAGUGGCGAAGGCGGCUACCUGGACCAAAACUGACGCUGAGGUACGAAAGCGUGGGGAGCAAACA